UACGAAGGUCCCAAGCGUUGUUCGGAAUCACUGGGCGUAAAGGGAGCGUAGGCUGUGAGGUAAGUCGGGUGUGAAAUCUCGGGGCUUAACUCCGAAACUGCAUUCGAUACUGCGGUGCUUGAGGACUGGAGAGGAGACUGGAAUUUACGGUGUAGCAGUGAAAUGCGUAGAGAUCGUAAGGAAGACCAGUGGCGAAGGCGGGUCUCUGGAAAGUUCCUGACACUGAGGCACGAAGGCCAGGGGAGCAAACGGG
This 253-nucleotide ribosomal RNA is filed under the name uncultured bacterium. Its description in RNAcentral is "partial 16S ribosomal RNA". It matches the Rfam family "Bacterial small subunit ribosomal RNA", at positions 524 to 776 of the family's 1533-position model. The record is from RNAcentral.